GACGAACGCUGGCGGCGUGCUUAACACAUGCAAGUCGAACGGAACGGCCCUGCCUUUGUGGGGUGCUCGAGUGGCGACCGGGUGAGUAACACGUGAGUACCCUGCACUUGCCUUUGGGAUAACUUCAGGAAACUGGGGCUAAUACCGGAUAGGAGCUCCUGCUGCAUGGUGGGGGCUGGAAAGUUUCGCCGGUUGGGGUUGGACUCGCGGCUCAUCAGCUUGUUGCUUGGGUAGUGGCUUACCAAGGCCUGGACCGGUAGCCGGCCUGGGCGGGUGACCGGACACGCUGGGACGGGAAUGCGACCCAGACUCCUACGGGACGGAGGGGUGGGGUAGGGUGCACUAUGGGCGGGAGCCUGGUGCAGCAACGCCGCGUGGGGGAUGACGGGCUGCGGGUUGGAAUGCGCUUUCGCUUGUGACGAAGCGUUAAUGACGGUAAUGGGUAAAGAAGCACCGGCUAACUACGUG
Molecule: ribosomal RNA, 468 nt
Filed under: uncultured bacterium
Lineage: Bacteria
Description: partial 16S ribosomal RNA
Rfam family: Bacterial small subunit ribosomal RNA
Source: RNAcentral